GUUAAGUUAAAUUUUAGAUAAAUUCACUGCGAUAUAAAACAAAUUCUAAGACCAAUAUUUGUUACAUGUCUGUCUUGUUUUACUAUCAAUGUCAUCAUGUCGGGCUGUUCAAUAUAGGUUUUAUAAGAAUGAUUCGACUGUUUUAUAAACUGUGGUAUCUUGUGGAGAGUUGUCUCAUAGGCAAUCCUGCCACAUCUCCUUUUAUAUAUUUACUGACAAGUUGAAAACAGAAAUACUAUGUUCUGAACACAAUUAGGAGGGCUUUUAUAAAAUCUUAUUAAAACACUUUAAGUACAAUACGUCUAUAACAAAUCUUUUAAAAACACAAAAUUACAAAAGUGAUUAUUUAUCAAUACGUUGGGGCUUAAUCAUGUUUAUUUUCAUUAACAUCAACAAUUAAUUCUUAUUUGAUAUGACUUUCUUACUGUUUUAAUUUAAGGAAGUUCGCUUAUGGAAUUUUUGUCAGAUUUUCGGAAUUUAUCCAUUUGAACAUGUUGAAUGCCUUCAAAAAUUUUGCCUGGUGACCCACAUUUUUCUUUUUAUAAUUCUUUUACAUGUAUAAUGAUAAGCUGUCUGUUAAAGUCUUAUAAAAUUUUAAGAAUUUUUUUUAUCGUUUUUGAGGACUUGCCAAAAUUUCAAGGACUAAUAUCUCGAAAACAAGCACGAUGACCUAUAUUGUUUUGUGAUCUUUUGAUUCCUUUAUUAAUCCCCUAUCGAUAUAUGCUAGUAUUUUGAAAAGUUAAUUAUUUUGAAACUGAGAAGCCAACUUCCGUAAGCGCGACUGAGGUAGAAAUACAUAGUAAGGAAAAAAAUGACACUCAUAUUUGUUUACCAC
This 835-nucleotide long non-coding RNA is filed under the name Mytilus galloprovincialis (Mediterranean mussel). The record is from RNAcentral. Lineage: Eukaryota; Metazoa; Mollusca; Bivalvia; Mytilida; Mytilidae.